RNAcentral lists this long non-coding RNA (295 nucleotides) under Gossypium barbadense (sea-island cotton). RNAcentral's name for it is "long non-coding RNA (GBAR_LNC002896)". Lineage: Eukaryota; Viridiplantae; Streptophyta; Magnoliopsida; Malvales; Malvaceae. The record is from RNAcentral.
UGUUAUACUUGCCAUUAGGCCAUACAAGCAUGAUACAAUACACUAUCAUUUCAUCUUUAACAUUCGGCUAAACCCUUAUCUUACAAGGAACACAGAAUUCACAUAACAUAUCAUUUCACCGGCAUUACACCUGCUAGGCAUGAAGGCCCGAAUACACAUCACCGGCACGAAGCCUGCUAGGCACGAAGGCUCGAAUACACAUCACCGGCAAGAAGCCUGCUAGGCACGAAGGCCCGAAUAUACAUCACCGGCACGAAGCCUGCUAGGCACGAAGGCCCGAAUACACAUCACCGAC